This 465-nucleotide ribosomal RNA is filed under the name uncultured bacterium. Its description in RNAcentral is "partial 16S ribosomal RNA". It matches the Rfam family "Bacterial small subunit ribosomal RNA", at positions 28 to 507 of the family's 1533-position model. The record is from RNAcentral.
GAUGAACGCUGGCGGCGUGCUUAACACAUGCAAGUCGAACGGAAAGGCUCCUGCUUGCAGGGGUACUCGAGUGGCGAACGGGUGAGUAACACGUGGGUGAUCUGCCCUGCACUUCGGGAUAAGCCUGGGAAACUGGGUCUAAUACCGGAUAGGACGAUGGUUUGGAUGCCAUUGUGGAAAGUUUUUCGGUGUGGGAUGAGCUCGCGGCCUAUCAGCUUGUUGGUGGGGUAAUGGCCUACCAAGGCGUCGACGGGUAGCCGGCCUGAGAGGGUGUACGGCCACAUUGGGACUGAGAUACGGCCCAGACUCCUACGGGAGGCAGCAGUGGGGAAUAUUGCACAAUGGGCGCAAGCCUGAUGCAGCGACGCCGCGGGGGGGAUGACGGCCUUCGGGUUGUAAACUCCUUUCGCUAGGGACGAAGCGCAAGUGACGGUACCUGGAGAAGAAGCACUGGCUAACUACGUG